UCUCCUGGAAACGGGUGGUAAUGCCGGAUGCUCCGACAUGACGCAUGUCGUGUCGGGAAAGAUUCUAUCGGUAUGGGAUGGGGUCGCGUCCUAUCAGCUUGAUGGCGGGGUAACGGCCCACCAUGGCUUCGACGGGUAGCCGGCCUGAGAGGGCGACCGGCCACAUUGGGACUGAGAUACGGCCCAGACUCCUACGGGAGGCAGCAGUGGGGAAUAUUGCACAAUGGGCGCAAGCCUGAUGCAGCGACGCCGCGUGCGGGAUGACGGCCUUCGGGUUGUAAACCGCUUUUGACUGGGAGCAAGCCCUUCGGGGUGAGUGUACCUUUCGAAUAAGCACCGGCUAACUACGUGCCAGCAGCCGCGGUAAUACGUAGGGUGCAAGCGUUAUCCGGAAUUAUUGGGCGUAAAGGGCUCGUAGGCGGUUCGUCGCGUCCGGUGUGAAAGUCCAUCGCUUAACGGUGGAUCCGCGCCGGGUACGGGCGGGCUUGAGUGCGGUAGGGGAGACUGGAAUUCCCGGUGUAACGGUGGAAUGUGUAGAUAUCGGGAAGGACACCCA
RNAcentral lists this ribosomal RNA (556 nucleotides) under Bifidobacterium adolescentis. Its description in RNAcentral is "bacterial SSU rRNA". It matches the Rfam family "Bacterial small subunit ribosomal RNA", at positions 146 to 712 of the family's 1533-position model. The record is from RNAcentral. Lineage: Bacteria; Bacillati; Actinomycetota; Actinomycetes; Bifidobacteriales; Bifidobacteriaceae.